Molecule: microRNA precursor, 141 nt
Filed under: Oryza brachyantha (malo sina)
Lineage: Eukaryota; Viridiplantae; Streptophyta; Magnoliopsida; Poales; Poaceae
Description: MIR812 microRNA precursor family
Rfam family: MIR812 microRNA precursor family
Source: Rfam by way of RNAcentral
UUUGACUCUUCGUUUUAUUUAAAUUUUUGUCGCGAUUAAUAUUUUUAUUGUUAUUAGAUGAUAAAACAUAAAUAUUAUUUUACACGUGACUAAUUUUUUUAAGUUUUUCUAGAAUUUUUUCAAACAAGACGGAAUGUUAGA